GCCGGUGUAGCUUAGCCUGGUGGAGUGCGCGGCUGUUAACCGCGUGGUCGGAGGUUCAAAUCCUCCCACCGGCG
Molecule: transfer RNA, 74 nt
Filed under: Candidatus Nanoarchaeia archaeon
Lineage: Archaea; Nanobdellati; Nanobdellota; Candidatus Nanoarchaeia
Description: tRNA-Asn
Rfam family: tRNA
About the family: Transfer RNA (tRNA) molecules are approximately 80 nucleotides in length. Their secondary structure includes four short double-helical elements and three loops (D, anti-codon, and T loops).
Source: RNAcentral